RNAcentral lists this long non-coding RNA (498 nucleotides) under Trifolium pratense (red clover). RNAcentral describes it as "long non-coding RNA (TPRA_LNC012543)". Lineage: Eukaryota; Viridiplantae; Streptophyta; Magnoliopsida; Fabales; Fabaceae. The record is from RNAcentral.
GGUACUUGGGUUACACUAUUUGAUCGCGUGGAAUUAGUUAUGGGCUUCAAAGUAAAACAAUUAUUUUCCAACUUUUUUCCAUGGUUAAUGCAUCCAAAAUCAAGAGAGAAAAAAACCAUAUUAUUUCAUUUCAUUACAAAUAUUUUAGUGUACAAAAUAAAGUUGCAAGAUGCGUGAAAUUAAGAAAUCAAGAGAUAAAAAUAUAAUUAUUAGUUGCUACAUGUAGAGCUCAUUCUUCUCUACAUUUGGCAUUUUUUGCGAACGACAUGACAAAAGCCGUGCAUGCAUUCUAAACAUCCUUGAAUAGCAAGUAAUUCAUAACAAUCAUUAUUAGAUCUACAUCUGGUAAAUGUUUUAAUUGGAUAGCUGGCAAUCUCCUUUGUAGUAAGAAAUAGGAAAAUAAAUAAAAUUGCAGCGGAAAUAAACUUGAGGGUUUUAGCCAUUUUAUUUUCCUCUUCAUUUGUAAAAUGGGAUACAAUUUGAUCAAUUUAUAGUGUA